AUAUCAAUAAGCGGAGGAAAAGAAACCAACAGGGAUUGCCCUAGUAACGGCGAGUGAAGCGGCAACAGCUCAAAUUUGAAAUCUGGCCCUCGGGUCCGAGUUGUAAUUUGUAGAGGAUGCUUUUGGUGCAGUGCCUUCCGAGUUCCUUGGAACAGGACGCCUUAGAGGGUGAGAGCCCCGUACGGUUGGACACUAAGCCUCUGUAAAGCUCCUUCGACGAGUCGAGUAGUUUGGGAAUGCUGCUCUAAAUGGGAGGUAAAUUUCUUCUAAAGCUAAAUACCGGCCAGAGACCGAUAGCGCACAAGUAGAGUGAUCGAAAGAUGAAAAGUACUUUGAAAAGAGGGUUAAAUAGCACGUGAAAUUGUUGAAAGGGAAGCGUUUAUGACCAGACCUUUGUCUAGCGGAUCAUCCGGUGUUCUUCACCGGUGCACUUCGCUUGGCUCAGGCCAGCAUCGGUUUCUGCAGCGGGAUAAAGACCGUGGGAACGUAGCUCUCUCCGGGGAGUGUUAUAGCCCUAGGUGUAAUACCGUUGCGGGGACCGAGGUUCGCGCUUCUGCAAGGAUGCUGGCGUAAUGGUCAUCAACGA
This 586-nucleotide ribosomal RNA is filed under the name Diatrypella sp. ATCC MYA-4409. RNAcentral's name for it is "eukaryotic LSU rRNA". It matches the Rfam family "Eukaryotic large subunit ribosomal RNA", at positions 40 to 647 of the family's 3401-position model. The record is from RNAcentral. Lineage: Eukaryota; Fungi; Ascomycota; Sordariomycetes; Xylariales; Diatrypaceae.